RNAcentral lists this ribosomal RNA (451 nucleotides) under uncultured bacterium. RNAcentral describes it as "partial 16S ribosomal RNA". It matches the Rfam family "Bacterial small subunit ribosomal RNA", at positions 29 to 523 of the family's 1533-position model. The record is from RNAcentral.
AACGAACGCUGGCGGCAGGCUUAACACAUGCAAGUCGAACGGGUGUAGCAAUACAUCAGUGGCAGACGGGUGAGUAACACGUGGGAACCUUCCUAGGGGUACGGAACAACUCAGGGAAACUUGAGCUAAUACCGUAUACGUCCGUGAGGAGAAAGAUUUAUCGCCCUUAGACGGGCCCGCGUCGGAUUAGCUAGUUGGUGGGGUAACGGCCUACCAAGGCGACGAUCCGUAGCUGAUCUUAGAGGAUGAUCAGCCACACUGGGACUGAGACACGGCCCAGACUCAUCCGGGGGGCAGCAGUGGGUAAUCGUGGACAAUGGGCGCAAGCCUGAUCCAGCCAUGCCGCGUGAGUGAAGAAGGUCUUCGGAUUGUAAAGCUCUUUUGCCAGGGACGAUAAUGACGGUACCUGGAGAAUAAGCCCCGGCAAACUUCGUGCCAGCCGCCGCCGUAA